RNAcentral lists this ribosomal RNA (253 nucleotides) under uncultured bacterium. RNAcentral's name for it is "partial 16S ribosomal RNA". It matches the Rfam family "Bacterial small subunit ribosomal RNA", at positions 524 to 776 of the family's 1533-position model. The record is from RNAcentral.
UACGUAGGUGGCAAGCGUUGUCCGGAUUUACUGGGCGUAAAGAGCGCGCAGGCGGUCGUGCAAGUCGCGUGUGAAAGCCCCCGGCUCAACUGGGGAGGGUCACGCGAUACUGCUCGACUUGAAGGCAGGAGAGGGAAGUGGAAUUCCCGGUGUAGUGGUGAAAUGUGUAGAGAUCGGGAGGAACACCGGUGGCGAAGGCGGGUCUCUGGGCAAUUCCUGACGCUGAGGCGCGAAAGCGUGGGGAGCAAACGGG